RNAcentral lists this signal recognition particle RNA (245 nucleotides) under Mytilus galloprovincialis (Mediterranean mussel). It matches the Rfam family "Metazoan signal recognition particle RNA", at positions 17 to 264 of the family's 299-position model. From Rfam's summary of the family: The signal recognition particle (SRP) is a universally conserved ribonucleoprotein. The record is from RNAcentral. Lineage: Eukaryota; Metazoa; Mollusca; Bivalvia; Mytilida; Mytilidae.
UGCUCCUGUGAUCCAGCUACCUGGAGACCGGAGUCGGUGAACGGUGUGAGGGCAGGAGUCCUGCUUUCAGGUGUUCUAUGUUGAGCGGCGUCCGCACUAAGAUCGGUAUCAAUAUGGGCACACCGAGGGAGCUCAGUGUGACCAGGUUGUCUAAGGAGGGACGUACAGGCCAAGGGCGGAAACGCAGCAGGCAAAAGUCCCGUGUCGAUCAGUAGUGGGAUCGCGCCUGUGAAUCGGUAUCUGUC